GUGCCAGCAGCUGCGGUAACACGUAGGGGGCGAGCGUUGUUCGGAAUCAUUGGGCGUAAAGGGCGCGGCAGGCGGCGAGGCAAGUCCGGUGUGAAAGUGCUCGGCUCAACCGAGUGAUGCGCUGGAAACUGCCCUGCUUGAGUACAGGAGGGGACGUCGGGAAUUCCAGGUGUAGGGGUGAAAUCUGUAGAUAUCUGGAAGAACACCGGUGGCGAAGGCGGACGUCUGGCCAUGUACUGACGCUGAGGCGCGAAGGUGCGGGGAGCGAACAGGUUUAGAUACCCUGGUAGUCCGCACAGUAAACGAUGUGCACCAGGUGGCGGGGGUAGCCCUCGGUACCGAAGCCAACGCAUUAAGUGCACCGCCUGGGGAGUAUGCUCGCAAGGGUGAAACUCAAAGGAAUUGACGGGGCCCGCACAAGCGGUGGAGCAUGUGGUUUAAUUCGAUGAUACGCGAGACCUUACAGGCUUGACAUGGGCGGAGGCGGGUGAAGUCCGCG
This 499-nucleotide ribosomal RNA is filed under the name uncultured Spirochaeta sp. RNAcentral's name for it is "bacterial SSU rRNA". It matches the Rfam family "Bacterial small subunit ribosomal RNA", at positions 505 to 1014 of the family's 1533-position model. The record is from RNAcentral. Lineage: Bacteria; Pseudomonadati; Spirochaetota; Spirochaetia; Spirochaetales; Spirochaetaceae.